AGCAUAAAAGUAGCAAUACUUGGUGGCGACCGGCGCACGGGUGAGUAACGCGUAUGCAACCUACCUAUCAGAGGGGAAUAACCCGGCGAAAGUCGGACUAAUACCGCAUAAAACAGGGACACCGCAUGGUGAUAUUUGUUAAAGAAAUUCGCUGAUAGAUGGGCAUGCGUUCCAUUAGGUAGUUGGUGAGGUAACGGCUCACCAAGCCGACGAUGGAUAGGGGAACUGAGAGGUUGGUCCCCCACACUGGUACUGAGACACGGACCAGACUCCUACGGGAGGCAGCAGUGAGGAAUAUUGGUCAAUGGGCGAGAGCCUGAACCGGCCAAGUCGCGUGAAGGAAGAAGGAUCUAUGGUUCGUAAACUUCUUUUGCAGGGGAAUAAAGUGCAGGACGUGUCCUGUUUUGUAUGUACCCUGAGAAUAAGGAUCGGCUAACUCCGUGCCAGCAGCGGC
This 454-nucleotide ribosomal RNA is filed under the name uncultured bacterium. RNAcentral's name for it is "bacterial SSU rRNA". It matches the Rfam family "Bacterial small subunit ribosomal RNA", at positions 68 to 518 of the family's 1533-position model. The record is from RNAcentral.